Molecule: ribosomal RNA, 301 nt
Filed under: uncultured bacterium
Lineage: Bacteria
Description: partial 16S ribosomal RNA
Rfam family: Bacterial small subunit ribosomal RNA
Source: RNAcentral
CAGCCGCCGCGGUAAUACGUAGGGUGCGAGCGUUAAUCGGGAUUACUGGGCGUAAAGCGUGCGCAGGCGGUUGUGUAAGACAGGUGUGAAAUCCCCGGGCUUAACCUGGGAACUGCGCUUGUGACUGCACAGCUAGAGUAUGGCAGAGGGGGGUGGAAUUCCACGUGUAGCAGUGAAAUGCGUAGAGAUGUGGAGGAACACCGAUGGCGAAGGCAGCCCCCUGGGCCAAUACUGACGCUCAUGCACGAAAGCGUGGGGAGCAAACAGGAUUAGAUACCCGCGUAGUCCCUGUCUCUUAUAC